This 73-nucleotide transfer RNA is filed under the name Vicugna pacos (alpaca). Its description in RNAcentral is "tRNA-Asn (ATT) (tRNA-Asn-ATT-11-1)". It matches the Rfam family "tRNA". From Rfam's summary of the family: Transfer RNA (tRNA) molecules are approximately 80 nucleotides in length. Their secondary structure includes four short double-helical elements and three loops (D, anti-codon, and T loops). Further hydrogen bonds mediate the characteristic L-shaped molecular structure. tRNAs have two regions of fundamental functional importance: the anti-codon, which is responsible for specific mRNA codon recognition, and the 3' end, to which the tRNAs corresponding amino acid is attached (by aminoacyl-tRNA synthetases). tRNAs cope with the degeneracy of the genetic code in two manners: having more than one tRNA (with a specific anti-codon) for a particular amino acid; and 'wobble' base-pairing, i.e. permitting non-standard base-pairing at the 3rd anti-codon position. The record is from RNAcentral. Lineage: Eukaryota; Metazoa; Chordata; Mammalia; Artiodactyla; Camelidae.
GGAGGGUAUAGCUCAGUGGUAGAGCACAUGUUUAUUAUGCAUGAGACCCUGGGUUCAAUCCCCAGUACCUCCA